AUGAGUGAGUCUGCAGAGGUCUGUUUAUUACAACUCUGGUGGCGAGGAUGUCCAGGGCAUGGGGGUCCACGUCUGCGCAAGGCCUUGAUGUUCUGCACCCCUCAUGUGAGGCAGGAGGGCAAGGGAGCACUGGCGACUGGGGCUAAGCCUGCAUUCACGGGUGAAGAAACUUCUGCUAGAAGUCCAGCAGCCAACUUCUGUCAUCUCAUCGGCCAUACAUGGGUUAUGCGCCUCUUCUGGACCAGUCACUGUUAAGAAGUACAGAAUGGCCCUCAAACCCUGGAGCACACAGGAGAUCAGCCUUUCUCAGGGUCCAGGUACCUAAGGGAAAAAGACCUGAGCUAAGUAGUGGUGAUCUGGGAAGUGGGGGAGAGGGUGCUUCUUGGAAGGAGCCAACAAUGACUACAACAGGCCUCCAAAUGUGCAUGGCAGUCAGGAACACCUUACAUAGCUUGCAGCUGUGUUGACUGCCUGAACUGAGAUGUCAGCCUUGACAGGGAGUAAUCAGGAGGGCAUGGGUUUUGUGGUGAAGGGUAGAUUAUGCGGUGGUAAGAACAGGACAAAGCAAAAGGAUGUGAAGUAGAGUAAGACUGGCUUCCUCCCAAGAUGGGUAGCAGGAACUGGAUUUGCUCUCCCACCUGGGGUAACCAAUAAAACCUGAGAAAAGACAUGAAUGCUAGAUACCAACCCACAGAGGACCAGGACCUCCGAGAGAUGGGACCUAACAAUUGUUUGGUUUAUUCUUUUGAGAGUGUUUUGAAGUCACGGCACAGGGAGAAGGUAGGAUUGAAAAGAAAAUAUUUUUAUGUUUCUUCACUGUCAGGGCUUUCUGAACAAAUUUUACUGAAAUUUGGAAUCUGACCUGAGAACAAGUCUUGGAAGUUAAUUUACAACUCUACAGAUAGUGGGAACUCCGGGGAGAUUUACCUAACUCCAGAGAUAUGUGUUUAUAUCUCAAGAGGGAAUGGAGCCUGGGACUUGGAGACAUCUCUGAGCUGUAAAACUGGAGUCAGUGGGAUUAUCUGUUCUCUGGAGAGAUUUAUUUACAUUCCAAAAGGAUGGAGUAAGGCUUAUGCACGAAGACUCCCCAGAAGCAGAGAGAGGUAACUGCCUCUUUCUCUUACACACAAGACAGCAAUUACUUUUUUUCUGUUGUUCUUUACCUAAGGGGUGGAGCUGUCACUCACAGAAGAGAAUUUUUCUUAUCUGAUUCUCAUUACAUUGCUCUGGAGACACGGGAGAAUGCUGCUAGACCAUUACUUUGACUAUUGAUCUUGUUACUAGGGUAGUAAGAAAUCUAUCUUCAGUUCAAAAUUUCAGUGUGCAUUAAGGACAAAAUGAAUAAGGAUGACUAUUAAAACAGAAUGAGAAGUAUCAAGGCAGAAUUUGGCAGACCAGGAGAUGAACUGAGAGUUUGGGGAGUCCAGGCUAGAGUUUGCAAGACCAACUAGAAGUAGGUGCACAGAGGGAGACCCCUGGGCAUUGGCAGAAGCUUCCCUUUGCAUACUGACACAUUACUGAUCAGUGUGUUUGUGUGGAGAAACUACUCAAAUAUGGGGAGAGACAAUACAAAAGGAUUUUUAAAAAGUAUGAGGCAUUCACAUAAGUCCAGGAAUGUUGCUCAUUCCUACAAGUCAGACUGGAAAAAUUAAUAAUUUAUGGCACUCUGGGGUAAAUUUGUAGGAAGGCUUUUCUCCAGUAGUGGAGAAUAAUUUGAUCCAGAUUGUAGUUCUAAGAGGAACGCAGAACAAGAAAGGUAAUACCUAAUGUGGUGGAUUGACAGCUGGUAGCCAACUUGUAACACCCAGCUGAACUGAGCCAUUGUGGUGCCAGGUAUAGGAGGCCCACCUGAGGACUGUUGCUGGCAGCAUAUGAGGCAGAACUGGAGAAGAAGAGGAGCUGUAGGGAGCUUUGGGGAGCUGUAGGUUCUCCUGGGCUAUUGGUUCUCCUGAGGAGCUUGUCAUGCUGGCUUUUCUGAUGAACUCACCUGUUCUCAUCAUCUGAGGAGCUUGGGACCUUGUUGUCACUGAGAAUGGCUACAGUUCAUUUUAGGGGAGCUCUCAUCCUUACUUUAAGCAUCACUUCCUGGAUCCAGAGAGGAAGAUGGUGCACUGUUCAACAUCCUGGAAAAGCCUGUCACAAUGGCUUUUCUCAUAUGAACUCAGCUGUUAUCAUCAGAGGAGCUCAGGACCUCGCUGUUGCUGAGGAUGGCUGUGGUCCUUUUCAGGGCAGUGCUGAUCUUAUCUUUGAGUGUCGUUUCCUGGCUCCAGUGUAGAUCCUUCAGCCUGCUCGCACAGAUCCUUCAUACUGCUGGCAGACUUUCUAGAUUCCUCUGCUAACCUUUGGGCCUUCCCAGUGCAGAUCCAUGAAACAGGCCUACAUGAGACGUCGUGAGCUCUAGGCCUCCAGUUGGACUCAUGGAGGCAUUGUUAUGGGCUCUAGGUCUUUAGCUGGACUCAUGCAGGACAUUGCUGUGGAAUCCCGGCCCUCAGCUGGAUUCUUUUGAUCUUUAGUGUGUGGAGAGAUUUCUUGUACUCUUUUAGUAUAUUACCCUUUGGGUGACUACUAUAAAAGAAACCUAUAAAUUUGUGUCCCUUGGAAACCCUGACUACAACACCUCAUAACACUAAACUCUCCCCAGGUAACUAAACUGCAUCCUUAGACACAGUUGACAAAUAUGUACGGGAGCACCCAGCAAAUCAGAGCUCUUAAUGUCUACCAUUAAAACAAAGAUUAUUNNNNNNNNNNNNNNNNNNNNNNNNNNNNNNNNNNNNNNNNNNNNNNNNNNNNNNNNNNNNNNNNNNNNNNNNNNNNNNNNNNNNNNNNNNNNNNNNNNNNNNNAAAAAAAAAAAAAAAAAAAAAAAAGAAAUAGGGGAACAUGAUGCAUAAUGAAGAAAGUAAUCAAAACCAGCUGGAGCUGGCACAAAUGUUAAAAUGAGAGAAGAAAUAAAUUUAAAUAAUUAUUGAACUGUAUUCCAUGGGUUCAAAAGGUUAAUUAGAGAAAUUAAAAAAGAGGCCUAUAUUGAAUUUCUAGAGCUGAAAACUAUAAUACUUGACAUAAAAAUGCAGUUAAUGGCACCAAUGGCAUGUUACACAGGAGAGAAAAAGAUUAGUUGAAGAUACAGCAACUGAGACUCUUCAGAAUGAAACUAGAGAGAUAAGGAAGUUAUUUUAUGUGCAAGAGCACCAAGGAGUAAGAGAGAACUUCAGUUGAAUUAUAUAUAUGCAACGGGCAUUCCAAAGGAGAGAAAGUGUUGAUUAGAUAGGACAGGAAACAAUAUCUCCAAAUUUAAUAAAAUUAUAAAUAAAAUAUAAACACAAGAAACAUGAAGACAGCUACAUCAAGGCACACAACAGUCAAACUGCUUAAAGCCAGUGCCAAAGACAAAACCUUAAAAGUGCCUGGAGAAAAAAAAGAUACAUUUAUUAUACAAGAAAAGAGAUAAGAGCGGCAGCAGACUUCUUAUCAGAAACAAUGAAGGAAAUGGUAUUGGUAGGCUGGAGAAUCAUAAGCAAUUGGUCUUGGUAACACUUAAGGCCUGAAGUGGCUAAGCGGGGACAGAGCAGCUGUGGCAGGAGACACCUCUGUACAGGUGAGGAAAAAUUUGGGGUGCUCUUUUAUAGACAUGGAAACUUAUUGUGGAGAUUAUGGAAAGACAUUAGAGAUUUCUGGCCAGGUAGAUAGCUAACUUGCAUGUUAGAAAAAUCAUGACAUUGGUUACCCAGGGUUAGUAGAUAGAAGAACAAAUUAAUGGGAAAGGAUGGUUUGGAAGAUCAGGAGACUGGGGAGAGUGAAUGUAACCUGAAGGAAAUUAUUGCAGUCGUUCAUUCAUUCAUUCAGUAUCUACCUAAGUCCUAUUUACCAAACUUGGAGCCAGUACCCCAAGACAGUGUGUGGGGCAAAGUAGCUGUGUAUAUAAAGCAUGUGAGUCUGUAAGUAUGUUGUAGACAUGUUUGUAUGUUAAUAUGAGUAGAUGGGUUUUAUUCUCUGCAGCAGCUGCACAGUUUUUAUUGAUCAUUCCACAACAUUUUUGUCUUUUAGGUUAUGCAAGAUACAGUGAUGAAUAAAAAACUCCUUGCAUUUGUGAAGCUUACAAACUAGACAGGGGUGGAAAUGGAAUACAAUAAUACACAAAUGCAAAUAUAUAAGUGCAGCACAGCUCAUCCAAUGAAACACAGUAGAGACCUAUUUACUCUUUACUGUGGGCAAAUAGCAGGCUUUCCGCAGCAUUCCUGAACAGCUCAAAGUUUUUUGUAGUAAAAAUCUAUGAUCACAAAUGUUACCCUCAGGCUUGGCUAGGAAAACUAAGUUAGUAAUUUAACAAGUUAUAAAUUUCAGAUUUAUGGUUAAAAUGUGAACAUUAUCACCAAAUAUUGGAAAGAAGUUUCUUGGAGGGAAAAUUUCAUUAUGUCCUUUAUAUGCUGAAAUUCUAUCAGUUUGUUGAAGAAUAAAAUUAUAUAUAUUACAAUAUGAGUAAAAUACUGCAAUAUUUAAUUAAGGGGCCAAAAUUGUUAGUUUUAUGUAAAGUCAAACACUAAGUACUUUCAAAUGGUUCAAUACUGGAGUAGAUAACAUGUCAUACAACUGAGAAGAGAGACUGUGCUAUGUAUAUAAUUUUGGAAAAAUAUUAUAUAUUUUUGUACUAACAAAUGUUUAUAAAAUGUUUUACUAUCAAUAUUACAGUAGUACUAAUAGUGAUGAUGUUAAUGAUGAUUAAGUUAUAUCAUUUUUAUAAUCUCUGUAAAUUAUCUACAAAAACUCAUACCACUAAACAAUAUAAUUAAAAAAAACUAUUUAAGCUUUACUUAAUUCCAUUUUGGUCAUGAGUGUUUUAUUUGGGACAUUUUCAUACCU
Molecule: long non-coding RNA, 4855 nt
Organism: Chinchilla lanigera (long-tailed chinchilla)
Lineage: Eukaryota; Metazoa; Chordata; Mammalia; Rodentia; Chinchillidae
Source: Ensembl